GAUCUGUCCAAAUUCAAAGCCCGUCAAAGGCAUAUGAAAUCAUGCGAAGGAUUUGAGCCCAUCGAAAUGAUGUUCAGGGGGCUAAACCCAAGUAGCUUUGGCUCAUGAUCCAAGAGACCCGAAACUCGUUAAUCAUGCUAUCCUUACCUUCUAACUAACCUCUUCGAGUUUGCUUACCCUAACACUGAUUGAUUAGGCGUAACUGUUGAAGCAGGUUAUGCAGAGGUUGUUCACACAGGCAAUGUGACUUCACUUUGUAGUUAGUUUGCUCAUUAAACAGGAGUGUAUAGUACUCAACUGCGAAAAACUAAAAAAAUGGUGCUUAUCAUCAAAUUCGUGCCGCAUGGCGAGAUUACUCUACUUCUACUCUAUAAAUAGAAAGAUAUCCAUAACAAUGAUGAUAAAGUUUGCCAUACCUUUCUAAUUGCCCAAUUUGACACUAACACCAUUGGCUACACCACGAGCAUCUUGUGCCUCAAUAUUCACAGUCUUGACGCUAGAGAUAGUUGGGGCUAUGAACUCUAGUCUCUUUGUUGGGACCUCAAUCAAAAUUGUGACUUGCUCCUUUGUCCAAAUUCUGAGCCCGUCAUCAAAGCAAGCCCAAGUCCAUGCAAGAAGGCCCUCCAGAUCUGUCCAAAUACAAAGCCCAUCAGCAUAUGAAAUCAUGCAAAAGAUCCAAGCCCAACCAAAUGAUGUUCAAGGGAAACCCAAGUAGCUCUGGCUCAUAAUCCAACAGACCCGAAACUCAUUAAUCAUGCUAUCCUUACCUUCUAACUAGCCUCUUCGAUUUCUUUUAUCCUAACAGUGAUUAAUUAGGUGUAACUGUUGAAGCUGGUUAUCCAGAGGUUGUUCACACAGGCAGUGUGACUGGACUUUGUAGUUAGUAUGCUCUAAACAGGCAUGUAUAGCACUCAACUGCAAAAAACUAAUAAAAAUGGUGCCUAUCAUCAAAUUCAUGCCAUAUGGCGGGAUUACUCUACUUCUACUCUAUAAAUAGAAAGAUAUCCUUAAUAAAGAUAUUUAUAACAAUGAUGGGAAAGUUUGCCAUAGCUUUCUAAUUACCCAAUUUGACACUAACACCAUUGGCUACACCACAAGCAUUUUGUGCCUCGAUAUUCACAAUUUGAUGCUAGAGUUAGUUGGGGCAAUGAACUCUAGUCUCCCUGUUGUGACCUCGAUCAAAAUUAUGAGUUGCUCCUCUGUCUAAAUUCAAAGCCGGUCAUCAAAGCAAGCGCAAGUCCAUGCAAGAAGGCCCUCCAAAUCAGUAGAAAUUCAAAGCCCGUCAAAGGCAUAUGAAAUCAUGCAAAGGAUCCGAGCCAAUCCAAAUGAUGUUCAGGGGGCUAAACACAAGUAGCUCUGGCUUAUGAUCCAAGAUACCCAAAGCUCGUCAAUCAUGCUAUCCUAACCUUCUAACUAACCUCUUCGAUUUCGCUUAUCCUAACAGUGAUUGAUUAAGCGUAAUUAUUGAAGCUGGUUAUGCAGACGUUGUUCACACAGGCAAUCUGGCUUCACUUUGUAGUUAAUUUGCUCAUUAAACAGGCAUGUAUAGUACUC
RNAcentral lists this long non-coding RNA (1554 nucleotides) under Solanum pimpinellifolium. Its description in RNAcentral is "long non-coding RNA (SPIM_LNC000173)". The record is from RNAcentral. Lineage: Eukaryota; Viridiplantae; Streptophyta; Magnoliopsida; Solanales; Solanaceae.